Molecule: transfer RNA, 71 nt
Filed under: Heteropoda venatoria (giant crab spider)
Lineage: Eukaryota; Metazoa; Arthropoda; Arachnida; Araneae; Sparassidae
Description: tRNA-Lys
Source: RNAcentral
UAGAAGGGUGGCCGAAAUUAGGUGUUAGUCUCUUAAAUUAAUUAUGAGUAGAAUAGUUAAAUUAAUAUUAA